CCUACGGGGGGCAGCAGUGGGGAAUAUUGCACAAUGGGGGAAACCCUGAUGCAGCGACGCCGCGUGAGUGAAGAAGUAUUUCGGUAUGUAAAGCUCUAUCAGCAGGGAAGAAAAUGACGGUACCUGAGUAAGAAGCCCCGGCUAACUACGUGCCAGCAGCCGCGGUAAUACGUAGGGGGCAAGCGUUAUCCGGAUUUACUGGGUGUAAAGGGAGCGUAGACGGCAGCGCAAGUCUGGAGUGAAAGGCCGGGGCUUAACCCCGGGACUGCUUUGGAAACUGUGCAGCUAGAGUGCAGGAGAGGUAAGUGGAAUUCCUAGUGUAGCGGUGAAAUGCGUAGAUAUUAGGAGGAACACCAGUGGCGAAGGCGGCUUACUGGACUGUAACUGACGUUGAGGCUCGAAAGCGUGGGGAGCAAACAGGAUUAGAUACCCCGGUAGUC
RNAcentral lists this ribosomal RNA (440 nucleotides) under uncultured bacterium. RNAcentral describes it as "partial 16S ribosomal RNA". It matches the Rfam family "Bacterial small subunit ribosomal RNA", at positions 338 to 795 of the family's 1533-position model. The record is from RNAcentral.